UCUAGUCGGCGCUGUUGCUACUAGCGUGAACUCGUUCGUUAGUUCAUUCGUCGCUGACUCGCGAGCUCGUACACCGUCAACAAAGUGCGUCAUGUUUUCACAUCAUAAAUGCUUACCCUAACCGCGACUUUCGAAAACUGCGUGGCACAACGCUCCGCAGUAGCAAUAGCGCCGGUUAGAGUCACAGAAUUUGGUGUUACACCUGGUCUGUGUGAAGGAAGAAAGUCAUGAAAUCAGAUUAGCUUAAUUCUUUAAUUAACAAAAGUAUUCAGUAAUGUCACGAUAAGUCGGAGUACAGCUGCCUGACCUCAAGACAGCAGUCUAGUUAGCGUUAGCUAGUUUUUCGGCGUUGCUAAUGCCAAUUAGCUUGUGCUUUUGUGAGAAACCAAAGCAGCCAGAAACCAGCACGUCUCCAUUAUUAAGUGUGAAGUUUACCACCUGAGGUCAGAUGGAGCUGAGCACCAAGGUGGCGAACGUAGCUUUAAAGAGGAGAGGUGAAGAGGCAUGUUUGCACAAGUCCUUUUGGCCAGACACUGCUCCCUCUUGCUGUUAGACCUGAGUGCUGCACCGGAACAACUGAACUCACAGCGGUCAG
Long non-coding RNA from Scatophagus argus, 595 nucleotides. RefSeq lists it as uncharacterized. The record is from RefSeq and is a predicted model, not a curated record. The transcript has 3 exons. NCBI's taxonomy places the organism in Eukaryota, Metazoa, Chordata, Actinopteri, Scatophagidae.